UUAGAAACGCUCUCCUUCGGAUCUGAUGCAGUUGCCUCUCAGAUUCUGCAGUCUCCCUCAAUCUGAUUGGUUACGUAUCAUGAGUAACAGCCAAUCAACACCACAGCUGCUGCCGUGAGGGCGGAGUCAAAGGGAAGGCAACAGAUACUGACAAAAUUACGAUAAACGUCACAAUCCCAUCAUCCACAGCCAACUGAUUUCUCCCAUUGGCUCUGUGGCUAACUUAGCUAACUGUCCGACUGCAGCUACAGCAAGUAACGAUAAAAGUAUUCGUCCAUCAGGAAACGCCGUAAUCCACCUCCCAACCGGAUUCUCUGUGGUCCAACAGGCCACAGAGAAUCCUCCUCCAGUGGUGUUUUUUGGCGUCCUGGGAUCUGCCUGUCAGUAAACACCUCUGCGGCGGGCACAGACGUCGAGCUAACGGCAUCGUUUCAGCCAUUAGAGCCGAGGACUCCAGUCGGAGGAGACGGCCUCAUUUCCUCCUCCAUGCUCCUCGUGGGAGCACCAGGAGCCGUUUAGAACCGCGUGAGGUGUGUGUGUUGUCAGAGACACUCGACGCCCAGUGGUCCAAUCAGAGCAGACACUUUGUGCCAUCUUUAAAAGAUAAUUUCAGAGCUUGUGAUCUUAACAUGAAAUCACUGGAUGGAGGCCAUGUGACAUCAACACAAACAGAAAUUCUUCUUCUGUGGCUUCCUGACGGUGCCGACGACUGGCGGUGGAUUCAGCAGUGAACAGAGUGCAGAGCUGGAGCCUCUUCGCAGCUUUUAUUUCACGGCUGCCCCGAGCCUCAAUGGGACUGUCAGCACUGAAGAAUACCUCCUCCUCCUCCUCCUCCUCCUCCUCCUGCUCCGCUCGCCGGGAUUCAGCCGCCGUCCAGCCGGCUGACAGCUUCCCCACCGUAUCGCCUGGCGACUGAAGGGACCACACACACGCACACUCGAUGCCCUUCAUGCCGGGUAAUUCUUCUUGUUGGCUUUUUUGGAGGGUGAGACUGUGCAGCCACAGGUCUUUUCUCUUUGGCACUUUUUACCCUCAAGGACUUCCAAACAAAUUUCAAGCAUGAGUGUAAAAGCUGUUGAGUGUUAUUAGACAAUGAAAAUGUCCUCUGUUUGUGUUCCGGGUCAACACCACACGACGCUCAUGUCUGUGUUAAUGUUUCAUGCAGUGUCCACAGUAUCGCUUGUGACACGUAAUAUCCUGUCAGGACCUCGCUGAAGGAUUACACCUCAGUUCUAUAUUUUCAUGAUUGUGAAACUUUUG
Molecule: long non-coding RNA, 1260 nt
Organism: Scatophagus argus
Lineage: Eukaryota; Metazoa; Chordata; Actinopteri; Scatophagidae
Exons: 4
Source: RefSeq, a predicted model, not a curated record